This 468-nucleotide ribosomal RNA is filed under the name uncultured bacterium. Its description in RNAcentral is "partial 16S ribosomal RNA". It matches the Rfam family "Bacterial small subunit ribosomal RNA", at positions 28 to 507 of the family's 1533-position model. The record is from RNAcentral.
GACGAACGCUGGCGGCGUGCUUAACACAUGCAAGUCGAACGGAAAGGCCCUGCUUUUGUGGGGUGCUCGAGUGGCGAACGGGUGAGUAACACGUGAGUAACCUGCCCUUGACUUUGGGAUAACUUCAGGAAACUGGGGCUAAUACCGGAUAGGAGCUCCUGCUGCAUGGUGGGGGUUGGAAAGUUUCGGCGGUUGGGGAUGGACUCGCGGCUUAUCAGCUUGUUGGUGGGGUAGUGGCUUACCAAGGCUUUGACGGGUAGCCGGCCUGAGAGGGUGACCGGCCACAUUGGGACUGAGAUACGGCCCAGACUCCUACGGGAGGCAGCAGGGGGGAAUAUUGCACAAUGGGCGGAGGCCUGAUGCAGCAACGCCGGGUGCGGGAUGACGGCCUUCGGGUUGAAAACCGCUUUCGCCUGUGACGAAGCGUGAGUGACGGUAAUGGGUAAAGAAGCACCGGCUAACUACGUG